Long non-coding RNA from Pipistrellus kuhlii (Kuhl's pipistrelle), 2327 nucleotides. RefSeq lists it as uncharacterized. NCBI's taxonomy places the organism in Eukaryota, Metazoa, Chordata, Mammalia, Chiroptera, Vespertilionidae. The transcript has 2 exons. The record is from RefSeq and is a predicted model, not a curated record.
AGCCCAGGCUGACUAAGGAGGCCGGAGAGGGCUUCCUGUCACAGCGGACCUUGAGCUGCACUUAGAAGGACAGACAGGAAUUAGCUGGAAGGAUAGGUGGACAGAACGGCAGGUGCAAAGGUGGAGAGGCUGUGAGUGCAUGGCAUGUUCUGGUAACAAAGGACAAGAUGUUUGCCCGGCUGGAGUGCAGGGAUCACCAGGGAGGGGCCUAGAUAAGGCUGUAUCCAAAGACGAAGCGGGAUCUACGGCCAAGGCCACUCCACGUGACGGGGAGAACCUACCUCACAGGCUUUUGCCAACCAGCUUUAGGCAGGGAGCACUGUGGUCCACCCUUGGGCCAUCCCCCACCAGAAGGUUCCUUAGUCACGUGGGUGUGGGCUCCCAGCACAGGCUCUGAGACUGCCCAGACCGAAAAUGGUCUCCUCCCAUCUCCUUUGGACCAGGGUGUGCACACAGCCAAGUGCCUGGUAACAUGACCCCUGUGGGCCCAGGCAGCAGCCUCAGGGUUGUUUGAGCAGGAAAUUCCUUGUCCUUAUAAGCUCCUCACUCCAAGGGAAGGGAGGAUCCAGAGGAAAACAUGAAGGGGGUCGUCUAAUGCGGGGGUCCCUGAGUCUAAGGAUGGUAUGGGGGUCUGCCGGGCAAGGUCUCAGUGGCCCGGCAGGGCCAGCUCUCAUUCAGUGCAAGCAGGAGAACAGUGACACCAUUGCUUCCAGCCUUGUCUGGGGACCCAAGGCCCUGCUUCUUUUUGGACGAAGUGCUGGCAAUAAUUCCAAACAUAUAUCCCCAAUUCAUCCCUUCUCUCCAUCUCUCCACAGAUAUCCCGGUUCCAGCCACCAUGCUCUCUCACCUGGACCAUUGGAGCAGCCUCUAACUGGUGUCCCUGCUGUCCUCCUUGCCUUCCCCCUCCCCCAAGCAUUCUCCACAAAGCAGCCCGAGUUACCCGUUAAACAUGUGCUGGGAUCAUGUCACUCACCUACUUCAACUUCCUGGUACCGCCCACUGCAUGUGGAGGAAGACGGGUGAUGUCUCAGCCAGGCCACAAGGCCUGCAUAAUUUGGCCCUCACCUCUUCGAACUCCUCAGACUCUUCUUAGCUCCCAACUACGCUCUCUUCAGAGCCUGGUGUCUCCCAGCCUCCGGGUGCUUCCCUUUGCUGUGCUGGCUCCCCGGAACCUUCUUCCGAAAUGUUGGCGCGAUGCCUGCUUCCUGUCACUUGAGUCUCCCCUUCUGGAGGAGGUUCCCCGCAGAAUGCCAGCUCCGCAGACAGGACCUUGUCUGUCCUGUUCCGCCUAUUUCCAGAGCUAGAACAGGCCUUGGCAUAUGGGAGAGCCUCAAGUAUUUGUUGACUGGACAGGAAUGGAUUCUAUUCAAGAAAACCCUUACCCGGCCAUCUUCCCAGAACUCAGCUUCUUCCCAAGCCUAGGAGGGCUGCUCAAGGGUGGCCCCAAAGGAUGCUGGGAAGACCCACCCCCUGGGCGCCGGGAGCCUCCUGAAGCCGGGCCUGGAGGGUCUGCACAGUCCACACAGCACCUCCCAACCCCCCCGGCUAACCAGAAAGAAGCCCCGAAGGCAGAUGCAGACCCUGGGGUUCGGCUGAGCAGAAAAUGCCUUUCUCAGGAGGAAACGGCCUCUCUCUCUCAGCCAGGACACAGGUGAGGAGAGCUGGAGCCUCCUGAAUGGGGCUCGUCUGUGUAGCGACAAAUUCUCAGCCAGACAAGACAGCCCUGAACCCUCUCCCCCCACCCCCACCUUCGCUCCAGAGCAUCCAUAUCUAUAGGGCACUGCUGGGAGGGUGCCAGGAGAGCAAGACUUAGUCCUUGGAUGUGAGAUAUCAGGUCCACCUGGGAGAACAGGCCUGCCUCCUGUGGGCUGGUGGCCGCCCCAGCAUGUAGACCUCACAGCCCUACUGCUCAAGGGGUGGGGCCAGGCUCCUGGAGCCCACUUUGUGCACCAACCAUUUUGAUCCCAUUCCUUCUCUUUGCUGAAGGCAAGAAACCAAAUUGAAAAGCAAAGCAAGCAUCUCUGGGUGCUGGCUCAUAGAGGGCUCAGUGCCAGCCCUCUGUCCUAGUGAUUGUGCUGUUCCUCAUGGCCACACACGGUGUGUGAAACAGCCCUGCGUGCAGACACUGAAGCUGCAGGAGAAACAAGCUGUCCACGGCCGGCUGCCUGUUUCCAGACUCCCUCUCCAUUCCGGCCUGCUGGGUUCCCCCCAAAGGCAGCCAGUAUCAGCGCCUGCGCUGGUCUGUGCUAACCGGCUGUCAGCUUACGGCGUUAACAAACAGAAUGGUUAAUGCACCAUUCUUGACUUCCAAGAUAAAGCCUUAAGGG